This 253-nucleotide ribosomal RNA is filed under the name uncultured bacterium. RNAcentral's name for it is "partial 16S ribosomal RNA". It matches the Rfam family "Bacterial small subunit ribosomal RNA", at positions 524 to 776 of the family's 1533-position model. The record is from RNAcentral.
UACGGAGGAUGCGAGCGUUAUCCGGAUUUAUUGGGUUUAAAGGGUGCGCAGGCGGGAUCUUAAGUCAGCGGUGAAAUUUUCAGGCUCAACCUGUACACUGCCGUUGAAACUGGGAUUCUUGAGUAUAGAUGAAGUAGGCGGAAUUCGUUGUGUAGCGGUGACAUGCUUAGAUAUAACGAGGAACUCCAAUUGCGUAGGCAGCUUACUAAGCUAUAACUGACGCUCAAGCACGAAAGCGUGGGGAUCAAACAGU